Molecule: ribosomal RNA, 253 nt
Filed under: uncultured bacterium
Lineage: Bacteria
Description: partial 16S ribosomal RNA
Rfam family: Bacterial small subunit ribosomal RNA
Source: RNAcentral
UACGUAGGGUCCGAGCGUUGUCCGGAAUUAUUGGGCGUAAAGGGCUCGUAGGCGGUUUGUCGCGUCGGGAGUGAAAACCUACAGCUUAACUGUGGGCUUGCUUUCGAUACGGGCAGACUUGAGGCAUGCAGGGGAGAACGGAAUUCCUGGUGUAGCGGUGAAAUGCGCAGAUAUCAGGAAGAACACCUAUGGCGAAGGCAGCUCUCUGGGACGGUACUGACGCUGAGGCGCGAAAGCGUGGGGAGCGAACAGG